Molecule: long non-coding RNA, 237 nt
Filed under: Elaeis guineensis (African oil palm)
Lineage: Eukaryota; Viridiplantae; Streptophyta; Magnoliopsida; Arecales; Arecaceae
Description: long non-coding RNA (EGUI_LNC013818)
Source: RNAcentral
GUGGAGUUUAUUUAUGAUCUCUAUAGCUAAACCACAGCUGACCAUGAUCUCAUACACAGCUGGCCACGAUCUCAUAUACAGCUGGCAGAUACAGCUAAGUAUGACCUCACUUCUGGCUAAUACAUAUAGCUAUACUCGAGCAAACUUACAGCUGGCUAUAACCACCUAACAAACUCCUCUAACGGCCUAACAAACUCUGUAACAGCCUCAUCAGCUCCUUUAUAAAUAGAGGGCCAG